RNAcentral lists this ribosomal RNA (253 nucleotides) under uncultured bacterium. RNAcentral describes it as "partial 16S ribosomal RNA". It matches the Rfam family "Bacterial small subunit ribosomal RNA", at positions 524 to 776 of the family's 1533-position model. RNAcentral also lists the same sequence under 2 other names. The record is from RNAcentral.
UACGGAGGGAGCUAGCGUUGUUCGGAAUUACUGGGCGUAAAGCGCACGUAGGCGGCUUUUCAAGUCAGGGGUGAAAUCCCGGGGCUCAACCCCGGAACUGCCCUUGAAACUGGAUGGCUAGAAUACUGGAGAGGUGAGUGGAAUUCCGAGUGUAGAGGUGAAAUUCGUAGAUAUUCGGAAGAACACCAGUGGCGAAGGCGACUCACUGGACAGUUAUUGACGCUGAGGUGCGAAAGCGUGGGGAGCAAACAGG